AUGAAUCCACCACCUCCUGGCGAAUUUGGACCUAUGCCCCCAGGAAUGGGAUACGGCCAGCCAAUGCCUCCUAUGGACCCCUCAGCAUCAAAUUGGAAUGUGAAUGGACCUCCUCCAGGAUAUUCUCUGCCCAUCAUACCAAUGCAGUACGGACCCGGACCACCUAGGCCUGGAAUGCCCAUGUAUUAUGAUAAAGGUAUGAGAAUGCCAGGAUAUCGAAGUAUGCAUCCCAGAGGUAGAAGUGGAAAGCCUUCAUCAUUCUCUAAUUACAGAUAUCCUACUCCACGUGGAGUUGUAUUGAAAGAAAAUGAAGAUCCACUGGCUGCCUUUGAAAGGCAUCUUGCUGAAAAAGAUGCCAGAGACAAGAAACGGAAGCAUCACAGAAAGAGGUCUAGGUCAAGAUCAUAUUCCCGCUCACCUGUUAGACACAAAAGUCUCGAUCACCUAGGAAAGGCUCAAGGUCGCCCAGGAAAUCUUCUGUGUCUCCGAGAAAAAAGUCCAGAUCUCCAAGAAAGAAGUCACGCUCUCCAAGGAAAAAGUCAAGAUCACCACGGAAAAAUUCUCGCUCUCCGAGGAAAAUGUCUCGUUCACCAAGAAAAAUUUCUUUAUCUCCUAGAGAAGUUCGAAAAGGCUCUUUAUCGCCACGAGGCUCUCUACCUCCUCGAAAGAAAUCUCUCUCUCCCAGAAUGUCUCGCUCACCCAGAAAGCUUUCACGAUCUCCAAGGAAACUUUCUCGAUCCCCUAGGAAACUAUCACGCUCGCCAAGGAAGUCAUCCUUGUCACCAAGAAAGAGAUCACUCUCACCACGGAAAGUUUCACGCUCACCAAGGAAGCUGUCACGCUCUCCUAGGAAAAGUUCUCUUCCUCCUAGAAAACGCACUUUAUCUCCAAGAAAAAGCCCAAUUCCCCCGAGGAAAAUUUCUCGCUCCCCCAGAAAAUCUCGAUCACCAAGACGGAUAUCUCGAUCUCCUAGGAAAGCUUCUAGAUCUCCAAAGAAAUCUCGAAGUGUCUCAAGGAAGCUCUCCCCAAAAAAGAAGUCUCCAAUUAGGAAGAGAACCCGUUCACCAAUCAGUAGGAGGUCAAGGUCUCGCUCCUUUGAACGUCGGCGAUCUAGAUCCCGAUCAUAUUCAUUUUCUUUAAGCAGAUCACGAAGCAGAUCUCCUACCUCUCGGAAGUAUUCUCCCAGACCUUUGAAGCCGAAGCGAGAAAAUUCACUUUCUCCAUACUCUUUAAGGUAUUUCAUCAAUUUGUUUCAUCCGUUUCUAGCCAAUUUAUUUAGAAACUCAGUUGAGAGGAUCUCCUGCAGGAAAUUUUUCCUCUAUUGAUAGAGGGCAUAAAGUUGCACAAUUUUGGUAACGGUCAUCCAGAAGUCUUGCUGCCAAGCUUGAACUUCAAAAACUUGAAUC
Molecule: long non-coding RNA, 1406 nt
Filed under: Bemisia tabaci
Lineage: Eukaryota; Metazoa; Arthropoda; Insecta; Hemiptera; Aleyrodidae
Description: lncRNA ENSSSA1UGG007726
Source: RNAcentral